Molecule: ribosomal RNA, 492 nt
Filed under: uncultured bacterium
Lineage: Bacteria
Description: partial 16S ribosomal RNA
Rfam family: Bacterial small subunit ribosomal RNA
Source: RNAcentral
GAUGAACGCUAGCUACAGGCUUAACACAUGCAAGUCGAGGGGAAACGACAUCGAAAGCUUGCUUUUGAUGGGCGUCGACCGGCGCACGGGUGAGUAACGCGUAUCCAACCUGCCCAUCACUUGGGAAUAACCUUGCGAAAGUAAGACUAAUACCCAAUGACAUCCCACGAAGACAUCUGAAUGGGAUUAAAGAUUUAUCGGUGAUGGAUGGGGGUGCGUCUGAUUAGCUUGUUGGCGGGGUAACGGCCCACCAAGGCAACGAUCAGUAGGGGUUCUGAGAGGAAGGUCCCCCACAUUGGAACUGAGACACGGUCCAAACUCCUACGGGAGGCAGCAGUGAGGAAUAUUGGUCAAUGGGCGAGAGCCUGAACCAGCCAAGUAGCGUGCAGGAUGACGGCCCUAUGGGUUGUAAACUGCUUUUAUAAGGGAAUAAAGUGGGUCUCGUGAGACUUUUUGCAUGUACCUUAUGAAUAAGGACCGGCUAAUUCCGUG